GAAAUGCGAUAAGUAAUGUGAAUUGCAGAAUUCAGUGAAUCAUCGAAUCUUUGAACGCACAUUGCGCCCCCUGGUAUUCCGGGGGGCAUGCCUGUUCGAGCGUCAUUUCACCACUCAAGCCUCGCUUGGUAUUGGGCAUCGCGGUCCGCCGCGUGCCUCAAAUCGACCGGCUGGGUCUUCUGUCCCCUAAGCGUUGUGGAAACUAUUCGCUAAAGGGUGUUCGGGAGGCUACGCCGUAAAACAACCCCAUUUCUAAGGUUGACCUCGGAUCAGGUAGGCAUACCCGCAUCGAUGAAGAAC
RNAcentral lists this unclassified non-coding RNA (300 nucleotides) under uncultured Capnodiales. RNAcentral's name for it is "sequence contains ITS1". The stretch from base 1 to 105 matches the Rfam family "5.8S ribosomal RNA", at positions 50 to 154 of the family's 154-position model. The record is from RNAcentral. Lineage: Eukaryota; Fungi; Ascomycota; Dothideomycetes; Capnodiales.